Molecule: microRNA precursor, 80 nt
Filed under: Podarcis lilfordi (Lilford's wall lizard)
Lineage: Eukaryota; Metazoa; Chordata; Lepidosauria; Squamata; Lacertidae
Source: RNAcentral
AGAUGAUAGAUAGAUAGAUGAUAGAUAGAUAGAUGAUAUCUAUCUGUCUAUCUAUCUAUCAUCUAUCUAUCUAUCUAUCU